RNAcentral lists this ribosomal RNA (158 nucleotides) under Physcia tenella var. tenella. RNAcentral's name for it is "5.8S ribosomal RNA". The stretch from base 2 to 142 matches the Rfam family "5.8S ribosomal RNA". Rfam says of the family: 5.8S ribosomal RNA (5.8S rRNA) is a component of the large subunit of the eukaryotic ribosome. Lineage: Eukaryota; Fungi; Ascomycota; Lecanoromycetes; Caliciales; Physciaceae. The record is from RNAcentral.
CGGAUCUCUUGGUUCUGGCAUCGAUGAAGAACGCAGCGAAAUGCGAUAAGUAAUGUGAAUUGCAGAAUUCCGUGAAUCAUCGAAUCUUUGAACGCACAUUGCGCCCUUUGGUAUUCCGAAGGGCAUGCCUGUUCGAGCGUCAUUGCAACCCUCAAGCA